Molecule: ribosomal RNA, 405 nt
Filed under: uncultured freshwater eukaryote
Lineage: Eukaryota
Description: SSU rRNA
Rfam family: Eukaryotic small subunit ribosomal RNA
Source: RNAcentral
UUCUAGAGCUAAUACAUGCGCCCAAACCCGACUUCGUGGAAGGGUUGUGUUUAUUAGAUACAGAACCAACCCAGGCUCCGCCUGGCCUUGAGGUGAUUCAUAAUAACCGAACGAAUCGCAUGGCUAUGCCGGCGAUAGACCAUUCAAGUUUCUGACCUAUCAGCUAUCGUCGGUAGGGUAUUGGCCUACCGUGGCAAUGACGGGUAACGGAGAAUUAGGGUUCGAUUCCGGAGAGGGAGCCUGAGAAACGGCUACCACAUCUAAGGAAGGCAGCAGGCGCGCAAAUUACCCAAUCCUGACGCAGGGAGGUAGUGACAAGAAAUAACAAUACAGGGCAUACAUGUCUUGUAAUUGGAAUGAGUAAACUUUAAAUCACUUUACGAGUAUCAAUUGGAGGGCAAGUCU